Molecule: long non-coding RNA, 440 nt
Organism: Mustela erminea (ermine)
Lineage: Eukaryota; Metazoa; Chordata; Mammalia; Carnivora; Mustelidae
Exons: 3
Source: RefSeq, a predicted model, not a curated record
UCACCCGAACGCCGCUCUCUCAUAGGCUGGAGCUCUACCUGCAGCCCCACCCCGCGCCUUGGCCCCGCCGCCGCGCCCAGUUUGAAGCUUCCUCGCGGCAGCGUGGGCAAGUGUUGCUUGGAGCUGACCGCUGAGGCUCCAAGCGUUUCCUACCUCAGCGCGAGGUUCUGGGGAGGUGUCACAGAUGUGUCUCAGAGGUGGCAGAACUUGAUUUGGACCUUGAAGGUGAAGAAUUUGGAUGAGGCAAUUGGGACAUUCCAGGUCAUGUAGAAAUUUGAAACUUGUAGUCACAGAAAAUAUAUAUAAGGGACUUAUCUUUCCUGAAGAUUUUUAGGUAAGAUGUUUAUUUUUCAAAUAGAAUCAUAACUUUUACUGCAGGAAAUCAAAGCAGUGGUAUAUUAAGACAUUUUUUUUCUUUAAAGAUUUUAUUUAUUUUUUUG